RNAcentral lists this ribosomal RNA (132 nucleotides) under Mediterraneibacter glycyrrhizinilyticus. RNAcentral describes it as "partial 16S ribosomal RNA". It matches the Rfam family "Bacterial small subunit ribosomal RNA", at positions 1410 to 1533 of the family's 1533-position model. The record is from RNAcentral. Lineage: Bacteria; Bacillati; Bacillota; Clostridia; Lachnospirales; Lachnospiraceae.
GUCAGUAACGCCCGAAGUCAGUGACCCAACCGCAAGGAGGGAGCUGCCGAAGGCGGGACCGAUAACUGGGGUGAAGUCGUAACAAGGUAGCCGUAUCGGAAGGUGCGGCUGGAUCACCUCCUUUCUAAGGAA